GAUGAACGCUGGCGGCGUGCCUAAUACAUGCAAGUCGAGCGAACGGACGAGAAGCUUGCUUCUCUGAUGUUAGCGGCGGACGGGUGAGUAACACGUGGAUACCCUACCUAUAAGACUGGGAUAACUUCGGGAAACCGUAGCUAAUACCGGAUAAUAUUUUGAACCGCAUGGUUCAAAAGUGAAAGACGGUCUUGCUGUCACUUAUAGAUGGAUCCGCGCUGCGUUAGCUAGUUGGUAAGGUAACGGCUUACCAAGGCAACGAUGCAUAGCCGACCUGAGAGGGUGAUCGGCCACACUGGAACUGAGACACGGUCCAGACUCCUACGGGAGGCAGCAGUAGGGAAUCUUCCGCAAUGGGCGAAAGCCUGACGGAGCAACGCCGCGUGGGUGAUGAAGGUCUUCGGAUCGUAAAACUCUGUUAUUAGGGAAGAACAUAUGUGUAAGUAACUGUGCACAUCUUGACGGUACCUAAUCAGAAAGCCACGGCUAACUACGUG
RNAcentral lists this ribosomal RNA (497 nucleotides) under uncultured bacterium. RNAcentral describes it as "partial 16S ribosomal RNA". It matches the Rfam family "Bacterial small subunit ribosomal RNA", at positions 28 to 507 of the family's 1533-position model. The record is from RNAcentral.